This 497-nucleotide ribosomal RNA is filed under the name uncultured bacterium. Its description in RNAcentral is "partial 16S ribosomal RNA". It matches the Rfam family "Bacterial small subunit ribosomal RNA", at positions 28 to 507 of the family's 1533-position model. The record is from RNAcentral.
GAUGAACGCUGGCGGCGUGCCUAAUACAUGCAAGUCGAGCGAACAGACGAGGAGCUUGCUCCUCUGACGUUAGCGGCGGACGGGUGAGUAACACGUGGAUAACCUACCUAUAAGACUGGGAUAACUUCGGGAAACCGGAGCUAAUACCGGAUAAUAUAUUGAACCGCAUGGUUCAAUAGUGAAAGACGGUUUUGCUGUCACUUAUAGAUGGAUCCGCGCCGCAUUAGCUAGUUGGUAAGGUAACGGCUUACCAAGGCAACGAUGCGUAGCCGACCUGAGAGUGUGAUCGGCCACACUGGAACUGAGACACGGUCCAGACUCCUACGGGAGGCAGCAGUAGGGAAUCUUCCGCAAUGGGCGAAAGCUUGACGGAGCAACGCCGCGUGAGUGAUGAAGGUCUUCGGAUCGUAAAACUCUGUUAUUAGGGAAGAACAAAUGUGUAAGUAACUAUGCACGUCUUGACGGUACCUAAUCAGAAAGCCACGGCUAACUACGUG